Molecule: transfer RNA, 61 nt
Filed under: Neotoma lepida (desert woodrat)
Lineage: Eukaryota; Metazoa; Chordata; Mammalia; Rodentia; Cricetidae
Rfam family: tRNA
About the family: Transfer RNA (tRNA) molecules are approximately 80 nucleotides in length. Their secondary structure includes four short double-helical elements and three loops (D, anti-codon, and T loops).
Source: Rfam by way of RNAcentral
UGUGGCUCAGUGGGUAGAGUGCUUGCCUCGNAUACAGGAAGCCUGGGUUUGAUCCCCAGUA